This 424-nucleotide ribosomal RNA is filed under the name Trigonopsis californica. RNAcentral's name for it is "partial small subunit ribosomal RNA". It matches the Rfam family "Bacterial small subunit ribosomal RNA", at positions 514 to 950 of the family's 1533-position model. Lineage: Eukaryota; Fungi; Ascomycota; Trigonopsidomycetes; Trigonopsidales; Trigonopsidaceae. The record is from RNAcentral.
GUCGCGGUUAAUCUUGGGGCGCUAACGUAAAUCAUCAUUAAUUGGUCUAAAAGAUCCGUAGUAUGAUUUAUAAUUAUUAAUAAUAAUUAUGAGAAAAUUAGAGUUUUAUAGAAGUAUUGAAGUAUAGCAUAAGGAGAGAUGAAAUUCAUUGAGAUAUGUUAGACUGCUAAUAGCGAAGGCAUCAUACUAAGUAAAAACUGACAUUGAAGGAUGAAGGCUAGGGUAAAGAGGACGAUUCGAUACCGUUGUAUUCCUAGCUAACAACGAUGAUAAUUGAUAUUUAGAGUAUUCUUAUUUUUUAUUAAUACAAACUUUAGAUAUUGAAUGAAGAUGGAAAAUUAUCUACCUGGGUAGUACAAACGCAAGUUUGAAAUCCAAGACAAUAGGCGGUUUGAAAUAGAGGUAGUGAAACAUGUUAUUUAAU